ACGGGAGGCAGCAGUGGGGGAUAUUGCACAAUGGGGGAAACCCUGAUGCAGCGACGCCGCGUGAGUGAUGAAGUAUUUCGGUAUGUAAAGCUCUAUCAGCAGGGAAGAAAAUGACGGUACCUGACUAAGAAGCACCGGCUAAAUACGUGCCAGCAGCCGCGGUAAUACGUAUGGUGCAAGCGUUAUCCGGAUUUACUGGGUGUAAAGGGAGCGCAGACGGCAUGGCAAGCCAGAUGUGAAAUGCGGGGGCUCAACCCCUGAACUGCAUUUGAAACUGUCAAACUAGAGUGCAGGAGAGGAAAGCGGAAUUCCUAGUGUAGCGGUGAAAUGCGUAGAUAUUAGGAGGAACACCAGUGGCGAAGGCGGCUUUCUGGACUGUAACUGACACUGAGGCACGAAAGCGUGGGGAGCAAACAGGAUUAGAUACCCUGGUA
Molecule: ribosomal RNA, 434 nt
Filed under: uncultured bacterium
Lineage: Bacteria
Description: partial 16S ribosomal RNA
Rfam family: Bacterial small subunit ribosomal RNA
Source: RNAcentral